RNAcentral lists this ribosomal RNA (473 nucleotides) under uncultured organism. Its description in RNAcentral is "partial 16S ribosomal RNA". It matches the Rfam family "Bacterial small subunit ribosomal RNA", at positions 333 to 797 of the family's 1533-position model. The record is from RNAcentral.
ACACUCCUGCGGGAGGCAGCAGUGGGGAAUUUUGGACAAUGGGCGAAAGCCUGAUCCAGCAAUGCCGCGUGAGUGAAGAAGGCCUUCGGGUUGUAAAGCUCUUUUGUCAGGGAAGAAACGGUGAGAGCUAAUAUCUUUUGCUAAUGACGGUACCUGAAGAAUAAGCACCGGCUAACUACGUGCCAGCAGCCGCGGUAAUACGUAGGGUGCAAGCGUUAAUCGGAAUUACUGGGCGUAAAGCGUGCGCAGGCGGUUUUGUAAGUCUGAUGUGAAAUCCCCGGGCUCAACCUGGGAAUUGCAUUGGAGACUGCAAGGCUAGAAUCUGGCAGAGGGGGGUAGAAUUCCACGUGUAGCAGUGAAAUGCGUAGAUAUGUGGAGGAACACCGAUGGCGAAGGCAGCCCCCUGGGUCAAGAUUGACGCUCAUGCACGAAAGCGUGGGGAGCAAACAGGAUUAGAUACCCUAGUAGUCCCA